GUGGUCUUCAGCGGGCCGCGGGAUGCCCCAGGCCGGCUCGUGGUCGGCCGCUUCGGGGUCGGACGCUUCGGGGCGGGUCGCUUCGGCUUGGCCCGCG
Molecule: transfer RNA, 97 nt
Filed under: Enhygromyxa salina
Lineage: Bacteria; Pseudomonadati; Myxococcota; Nannocystales; Nannocystaceae
Description: tRNA-Thr
Source: RNAcentral